GGAGACGCGCGCGUGCGCAUGCGCUGCAGGACGGAGAUGAGCCGCACGCACCAGGUGGCGGGAAAAAGAGCUGCCAGGAGGAAUGAGGGACAAACGCAGAACACACAACAAAGAGCUUCCUGCAUAAACCUGACAGACAGAGGAGAUGCCGGGGUCAGAGGUCGGGACACAGAGAGAGAGAGGCGGGGCGGACGGUGGACACACAGUCUGAUCUGAUAUUGGUUAGUGGGCACACCCGGCUUGGUUUGCUGCUGCCCUCACCUGCGCUACUGCUCCCC
Anguilla anguilla (European eel) is the source of this 278-nucleotide long non-coding RNA. RefSeq lists it as uncharacterized. The record is from RefSeq and is a predicted model, not a curated record. NCBI's taxonomy places the organism in Eukaryota, Metazoa, Chordata, Actinopteri, Anguilliformes, Anguillidae. The transcript has 3 exons.